UACGGAGGAUGCGAGCGUUAUCCGGAUUUAUUGGGUUUAAAGGGUGCGCAGGCGGCGAGUUAAGUCAGCGGUAAAAUUUCGGGGCUCAACCCCGACAAGCCGUUGAAACUGGCUUGCUAGAGUGGGCGAGAAGUAUGCGGAAUGCGUGGUGUAGCGGUGAAAUGCAUAGAUAUCACGCAGAACUCCGAUUGCGAAGGCAGCGUACCGGCAUCCAACUGACGCUGAGGCACGAAAGCGUGGGGAUCAAACAGG
RNAcentral lists this ribosomal RNA (252 nucleotides) under uncultured bacterium. RNAcentral describes it as "partial 16S ribosomal RNA". It matches the Rfam family "Bacterial small subunit ribosomal RNA", at positions 524 to 776 of the family's 1533-position model. The record is from RNAcentral.